RNAcentral lists this non-coding RNA (106 nucleotides) under Acetivibrio thermocellus. RNAcentral describes it as "Clostridium thermocellum TPP sequence". It matches the Rfam family "TPP riboswitch aptamer (THI element)". Rfam says of the family: Vitamin B(1) in its active form thiamin pyrophosphate (TPP) is an essential coenzyme that is synthesised by coupling of pyrimidine and thiazole moieties in bacteria. RNAcentral also lists the same sequence under 1 other name. Lineage: Bacteria; Bacillati; Bacillota; Clostridia; Acetivibrionales; Acetivibrionaceae. The record is from RNAcentral.
UCAUCACGCUAGGGGUGCCAUUGUGGCUGAGAAAGAGACUUAAGUCUCUUAACCCUUUGAACCUGAUGCGGUUAGUACCGCCGGAGGGAAGCGGAAAAUAUUGUUU